GGGUUGGUGGUCUAGCCCGGUUAUGACAGCUCCUUCACACGGAGCGGGUCGGCGGUUCGAAUCCGCCCCAACCCA
Salinarchaeum sp. Harcht-Bsk1 is the source of this 75-nucleotide transfer RNA. It matches the Rfam family "tRNA". From Rfam's summary of the family: Transfer RNA (tRNA) molecules are approximately 80 nucleotides in length. Their secondary structure includes four short double-helical elements and three loops (D, anti-codon, and T loops). Further hydrogen bonds mediate the characteristic L-shaped molecular structure. tRNAs have two regions of fundamental functional importance: the anti-codon, which is responsible for specific mRNA codon recognition, and the 3' end, to which the tRNAs corresponding amino acid is attached (by aminoacyl-tRNA synthetases). tRNAs cope with the degeneracy of the genetic code in two manners: having more than one tRNA (with a specific anti-codon) for a particular amino acid; and 'wobble' base-pairing, i.e. permitting non-standard base-pairing at the 3rd anti-codon position. NCBI's taxonomy places the organism in Archaea, Methanobacteriati, Methanobacteriota, Halobacteria, Halobacteriales, Natronoarchaeaceae. The record is from Rfam.